RNAcentral lists this ribosomal RNA (675 nucleotides) under Salmonella enterica subsp. enterica serovar Enteritidis. RNAcentral's name for it is "bacterial SSU rRNA". It matches the Rfam family "Bacterial small subunit ribosomal RNA", at positions 870 to 1533 of the family's 1533-position model. The record is from RNAcentral. Lineage: Bacteria; Pseudomonadati; Pseudomonadota; Gammaproteobacteria; Enterobacterales; Enterobacteriaceae.
CGCCUGGGGAGUACGGCCGCAAGGUUAAAACUCAAAUGAAUUGACGGGGGCCCGCACAAGCGGUGGAGCAUGUGGUUUAAUUCGAUGCAACGCGAAGAACCUUACCUGGUCUUGACAUCCACAGAAGAAUCCAGAGAUGGAUUUGUGCCUUCGGGAACUGUGAGACAGGUGCUGCAUGGCUGUCGUCAGCUCGUGUUGUGAAAUGUUGGGUUAAGUCCCGCAACGAGCGCAACCCUUAUCCUUUGUUGCCAGCGGUUAGGCCGGGAACUCAAAGGAGACUGCCAGUGAUAAACUGGAGGAAGGUGGGGAUGACGUCAAGUCAUCAUGGCCCUUACGACCAGGGCUACACACGUGCUACAAUGGCGCAUACAAAGAGAAGCGACCUCGCGAGAGCAAGCGGACCUCAUAAAGUGCGUCGUAGUCCGGAUUGGAGUCUGCAACUCGACUCCAUGAAGUCGGAAUCGCUAGUAAUCGUGGAUCAGAAUGCCACGGUGAAUACGUUCCCGGGCCUUGUACACACCGCCCGUCACACCAUGGGAGUGGGUUGCAAAAGAAGUAGGUAGCUUAACCUUCGGGAGGGCGCUUACCACUUUGUGAUUCAUGACUGGGGUGAAGUCGUAACAAGGUAACCGUAGGGGAACCUGCGGUUGGAUCACCUCCUUACCUUAAAGAAGC